This 1474-nucleotide long non-coding RNA is filed under the name Gadus morhua (Atlantic cod). RNAcentral describes it as "lncRNA (ENSGMOG00000022947.1)". The record is from RNAcentral. Lineage: Eukaryota; Metazoa; Chordata; Actinopteri; Gadiformes; Gadidae.
GGUACCCCAAAUGACGUCCCCUUUACACCUGUACCCGCAAUACGGCAACACCACUCAGUGGUCAACACAGACAUUACAACAUAACUGAAAAACAGGAAAAUGGCUCUUACAAACAAACAGCUUCGCAGCCUUUUCAAAAGACAUAGCCUGCACUGGUGUCAUCCUGAUUCACCACUUCUGUUGUUAUCCCAUUUCUACCCCUUAAAAGUGUGGUCCUUGGAUAGCUUCGUUUCAAGGGCUACGUAGCCUUUUGUCUUCGCCCUACCCCUUUGGCCCGGCCAGACUACACGAUUUCAGCCCGAUUUUGCCCCGAUUCUUUCGUCGCAGACGAAUUUGCGAAUCGUACACGAUUUUGAGGAGUCGGCGACGAGACGAGGUCUUGUAAUGUGACAUGCUUGCGAUCUGCGAUGUUUUCGUCUGCGACGUUCGAAAACCCCACGACGAAAUGUUUGGCAUGUCAGAAUUUUUUGGGGAAUCGCAUGACGUAUACACUGUUGACAUGAGGGAACCACGCCCCCAGUUGCGUGAGGGAAUCCCGCGAACAGCUGGAGCUCACGCGCAGUGUUUACCAACUGCCUUCACUGCACUACGCUGGAGUAACAACCGCAAAAAUGAAUUCGAUCAAGAAGAAUGCUAACAAAGAAAACGAGAGAAAAUGGAGCAACACUAUGGAGACAACCUUGGUGGAAAUGUGGCAGCAACGUCCAUGCAUUUUCGACGUGUCCUCAAAGGACUUUCACGAUAGGGUGAAAAGGGAUAAAGCCUGGCGAGAAAUAGCCGACACCCUUGACCUACCUGUUUUAGAGAUAACAACUAGAGCUGCGUCUCUGCGGACACAGUUUGGCAAACUGCUCCAUCCCAAACCAAGUAGGAGUGGACAGAAGGAUGUCACCCUGACCCCACGAGUCCACAACGGAAGUGGAUCUGUCAGAGUAUGGUUUUUUUGCGGGCACACAUAGCGCAUAGACCAUCACAAACAACACUGAAUUUUGAUGACAGUCAACAAGAGGCCACAGAAAGCAGUGAGGAAGAGACAGAGGCUGAGGGCCCCCCAGCUAUUACCAACCCACCACCACCAUUCCCACCUAGACCUCCACCUGUCCAGGAGUCCAGAGCCCAGAGAAAAAAACGAAAGCCUACAAGGGACGUGGAGAUGGAGAUGGAGAAGGAGAAGGUGGACAUUCUUCGGAAUGUCUCAACAACUUUGCUUGCCGCAGGCCAAGAUGUGGAGGAUAUUUUUGGGAAGCAGGUGGCUUGUGAGCUUAAACAUGUGCAGGACAGAACUAUACGCUUGAGACUACGCCGAAACAUAAUGUUAAUGCUCUAUGAUGCCCAGGAGAAUGAGCAGAGAACAGCUAACCCUGCUCAAACUUCUUGGCCAGAGCAGAGCACAGGGCACACACCUCUGCAAACCCACCACUUCACCCACAACAUGCCUCCACAGCACAGUACUAUGGGCUACAAUUAUGACUAG